AUACGGAGGGUGCAAGCGUUAAUCGGAAUUACUGGGCGUAAAGCGCGCGUAGGCGGCUUGAUAAGUCAGAUGUGAAAGCCCCGGGCUCAACCUGGGAAUUGCAUUUGAUACUGUCAAACUAGAGUAUGGUAGAGGGUAGUGGAAUUUCCGGUGUAGCGGUGAAAUGCGUAGAUAUCGGAAGGAACACCAGUGGCGAAGGCGGCUUCCUGGAUCAAGACUGACGCUGAGGUGCGAAAGCGUGGGGAGCAGACAGGAUUAGAAACCCCGGUAGUCC
This 274-nucleotide ribosomal RNA is filed under the name uncultured bacterium. Its description in RNAcentral is "partial 16S ribosomal RNA". It matches the Rfam family "Bacterial small subunit ribosomal RNA", at positions 523 to 796 of the family's 1533-position model. The record is from RNAcentral.